Molecule: ribosomal RNA, 253 nt
Filed under: uncultured bacterium
Lineage: Bacteria
Description: partial 16S ribosomal RNA
Rfam family: Bacterial small subunit ribosomal RNA
Source: RNAcentral
UACGUAGGGAGCAAGCGUUGUCCGGAAUCAUUGGGCGUAAAGCGCGCGUAGGCGGCCCGGUAAGUCCGUUGUAAAAGUCAAAGGCUCAACCUUUGAAAGCCGAUGGAUACUGCCGGGCUAGAGUCCGGAAGAGGCGAGUAGAAUUCCUGGUGUAGCGGUGAAAUGCGCAGAUAUCAGGAGGAACACCGAUGGCGAAGGCAGGUCUCUGGGCAUUAACUGACGCUGAGGAGCGAAAGCAUGGGGAGCGAACAGG